This is a non-coding RNA of Ciona savignyi (Pacific transparent sea squirt), 72 nucleotides long. The record is from Rfam. NCBI's taxonomy places the organism in Eukaryota, Metazoa, Chordata, Ascidiacea, Phlebobranchia, Cionidae.
GCUGUGAUCGUAUAGUGGUUAGUACUUCACGCUGUGGCCGUGACAACCCAGGUUCGAAUCCUGGUCACAGCA